This 497-nucleotide ribosomal RNA is filed under the name uncultured bacterium. Its description in RNAcentral is "partial 16S ribosomal RNA". It matches the Rfam family "Bacterial small subunit ribosomal RNA", at positions 28 to 507 of the family's 1533-position model. The record is from RNAcentral.
GGUGAACGCUGGCGGUGUGCCUAAUACAUGCAAGUCGAACGACCACACGAUAAGCUUUCUCUUUUACCGUUAGCGGCGGACGGACGAGUAACGCAUGCAUCACCUUCUACUAUUACGGGGAUAAUUUCGUGGAAACGCUGCUACUACUACCGCAUAUAUUCUACCGCAUGUAUCAAUAGUUCUUCACGCUUUUCCUGUCUCUUUUAGCCGCUUCCGCACCGCAUUAGCUAGUUGGUAAGGUAACGCCUUACCAAGGCAACGAUGCGUAUCUGACCUGAGAGGGUGAUCGGCCACAAUGGAACUGAGACACGGUCCAGACUCCUACGGGAGGCAGCAGUAGGGAAUCUUGGGCAAUGGGCGAAAGCCUGACCGAGCAACACCGCGUGAGUGAAGAAGGUCUUCGGGUCGUAAAACUCUGUUGUUAGGGAAGAAAAGAAGUAGAAGUAACUAUGGAUGUCUUGACGGUACCCAAUCAGAAAGCCCCGGCUAACUACGUG